RNAcentral lists this ribosomal RNA (491 nucleotides) under uncultured bacterium. RNAcentral's name for it is "bacterial SSU rRNA". It matches the Rfam family "Bacterial small subunit ribosomal RNA", at positions 9 to 487 of the family's 1533-position model. The record is from RNAcentral.
GAGUUUGAUCCUGGCUCAGAGUGAACGCUGGCGGUAGGCCUAACACAUGCAAGUCGAACGGCAGCACAGUAAGAGCUUGCUCUUAUGGGUGGCGAGUGGCGGACGGGUGAGGAAUACAUCGGAAUCUACCUUUUCGUGGGGGAUAACGUAGGGAAACUUACGCUAAUACCGCAUACGACCUUCGGGUGAAAGCAGGGGACCUUCGGGCCUUGCGCGGAUAGAUGAGCCGAUGUCGGAUUAGCUAGUUGGCGGGGUAAAGGCCCACCAAGGCGACGAUCCGUAGCUGGUCUGAGAGGAUGAUCAGCCACACUGGAACUGAGACACGGUCCAGACUCCUACGGGAGGCAGCAGUGGGGAAUAUUGGACAAUGGGCGCAAGCCUGAUCCAGCCAUACCGCGUGGGUGAAGAAGGCCUUCGGGUUGUAAAGCCCUUUUGCUGGGAAAGAAAAGCAAUCGAUUAAUACCCGGUUGUUCUGACGGUACCCAAAGAAU